GCUUUCGUUAUGGCUGCACCGUUUGUCAAGCCUCUGUCGGUGUUGAAAAAAGAUACUUCGUAGGGAUGGUACAUUCAUUUGGUACUUAACACCUCACCUGGCAAAAUAACGAGAACCAUAGAGUGAACAUUUUGCAUCUCCAUGUGUCAUGGAAUUUAGGUGUAUAUACCGUGUUAGGGGAAGUUGUUCAGUCAACGAUGUCCUUCGGACUUCAUCCCACACCUCAAACCUGCUCUGUAGCCGAUGACCUCAUCUGACGUCGAUGCGGUGUGGGUGAAGCAUUCCGUAUCAAUCAUAUUACCAAUGAAGUGGUGCACGGUGGUGAUACGCUUUUUUUUAGACAUAAAGACCCUUGAAUUUGUACGUCUCAACCAUAUGUAAUCGUAUUUAUGCUUAGACGCUCCGGGAGGUAGUGGCGUGUUGGAGUACCAGGAAGCAGCAUUUCCAAAGCAAAAAACCAAUUUGAGGAUUGGCAACACUAAUCCAAAAAAUAUAUAUCUAAAAUUUAUUUGCUUGUUUUGGUAAUUAAAAUGAGUUAAAUGAAAAAAUUUUGGCUUUAGAAAUGAUGCUCAUCAGUAAGAUGACAAAUGUUAAGAGACGAUGUAGAAAGAGACGUUGAAUGAGACAGUUUGCAAAACUUACAUUGGCGUCGAAAAAACUGCAUCUAAGUGUCUACUUGAAACAAUUUCAGUUAGCGAUGGCAGACAAGCGGCAAGAGAAAAAUGUAAAUCUUUGUGAUAUGAGAAAGGCUGUAAAUAUUGGGAAUUUCUCGAAGAAGUUCACAGCGAAUUAUAAG
Molecule: long non-coding RNA, 796 nt
Organism: Daphnia carinata
Lineage: Eukaryota; Metazoa; Arthropoda; Branchiopoda; Diplostraca; Daphniidae
Exons: 4
Source: RefSeq, a predicted model, not a curated record